Molecule: ribosomal RNA, 265 nt
Filed under: uncultured bacterium
Lineage: Bacteria
Description: partial 16S ribosomal RNA
Rfam family: Bacterial small subunit ribosomal RNA
Source: RNAcentral
GUCCACGCCCUAAACGAUGUCUACUAGUUGUUGGUGGAGUGAAAUCCAUUAGUAACGCAGCUAACGCGUGAAGUAGACCGCCUGGGGAGUACGGUCGCAAGAUUAAAACUCAAAGGAAUUGACGGGGGCCCGCACAAGCGGUGGAUUAUGUGGAUUAAUUCGAUGCAACGCGAAAACCUUACCUGGCCUUGACAUGCCACUAACGAAGCAGAGAUGCAUUAGGUGCCCGAAAGGGAAGUGGACACAGGUGCUGCAUGGCUGUCGU